AAAAAUACAAUUUUUAACAUGUCCUUUGAUGACUAUUAACACAAAUGCAAGAUAAGAUCCCGCAAAUGAAUACCAGCUUGAGUAGUAGUUUAUAUAUAGCAAUAGCUUGAGACAACUCACUAAGUGUGCUUGGACACCAUGUCACUUAAUAAAGGAGCAACCUUCUUACCUCAGAUGCCAGAAAUACAAAACAUCACUAACAUCUCUGAAGAGCAAGAAUCCUAUGUAUAUCAGGCAAGAUCUACUUUGGGGGGAAGUUCCAUUCAGGGUUUUACACAGGGAAAUGGUGUGAAUUGUUACAGUGUAGCUGUCCCUGAGCCACCAGAUGACCAUAGAACUGUUAAUCAUUACUUCAGACACCGAAUCUUUGCUUUCAUUCAUUUGAUUAAUCAAAGCAUGCUGGGCUCUCUUACCCACUGGGAAGCACAUUACUGUGAAAUUCAUGACCACACAAUUAAUUUAACCUCAGGUGAAUUCACAGGAAUGAAACACUUUUCUU
Molecule: long non-coding RNA, 499 nt
Filed under: Rattus norvegicus (Norway rat)
Lineage: Eukaryota; Metazoa; Chordata; Mammalia; Rodentia; Muridae
Description: long non-coding RNA NONRATT028267
Source: RNAcentral